UACGUAGGGGGCAAGCGUUGUCCGGAAUCAUUGGGCGUAAAGAGCGCGUAGGCGGCCAGAUAAGUCCGGUGUGAAAGUCAUAGGCUCAACCUGUGAAUGCCGCUGGAAACUGUCUGGCUAGAGUCCGGUAGGGGCGAGUGGAAUUCCUGGUGUAGCGGUGAAAUGCGCAGAUAUCAGGAGGAACACCAAUGGCGAAGGCAGCUCGCUGGAACGGUACUGACGCUGAGGCGCGAAAGCGUGGGGAGCGAACAGG
This 253-nucleotide ribosomal RNA is filed under the name uncultured bacterium. RNAcentral describes it as "partial 16S ribosomal RNA". It matches the Rfam family "Bacterial small subunit ribosomal RNA", at positions 524 to 776 of the family's 1533-position model. The record is from RNAcentral.